AUGAAUUAGAAUUUUAUCACUAGUUUAGAAAGCUAGUAAGAAAAUAGUAUGUCGUCACACUAACCAUUUUUUGUGAUGAUUCUAUAAUGACAAAUAUAAUGAAUUGUAACAAUGACUCAGCUUUGAAGUAGAAGUAAGUUUAUGAAUUAUUUAGAAUCGGUAAAAUAGCUAUCAUUUAUACCUUUGUCGAUUUCAUUGUCACUAUCAGGUAUUAAUGUACUCACAGCCAUCACUUUCACAGUCU
Molecule: long non-coding RNA, 244 nt
Filed under: Setaria viridis
Lineage: Eukaryota; Viridiplantae; Streptophyta; Magnoliopsida; Poales; Poaceae
Description: long non-coding RNA (SVIR_LNC001721)
Source: RNAcentral